RNAcentral lists this ribosomal RNA (508 nucleotides) under uncultured bacterium. RNAcentral's name for it is "partial 16S ribosomal RNA". It matches the Rfam family "Bacterial small subunit ribosomal RNA", at positions 29 to 523 of the family's 1533-position model. The record is from RNAcentral.
AUUGAACGCUGGCGGCAUGCCUUACACAUGCAAGUCGAACGGCAGCGGGGGAGAAGCUUGCUUUUCCUGCCGGCGAGUGGCGAACGGGUGAGUAAUACAUCGGAACGUGCCCUGUAGUGGGGGAUAACUAGUCGAAAGAUUAGCUAAUACCGCAUACGACCUGAGGGUGAAAGUGGGGGACCGCAAGGCCUCAUGCUAUAGGAGCGGCCGAUGUCUGAUUAGCUAGUUGGUGGGGUAAAGGCCUACCAAGGCGACGAUCAGUAGCUGGUCUGGGAGGACGAUCAGCCACACGGGGACUGAGACACGGCCCAGACUCCGACGGGAGGCAGCAGUGGGGAACUUUGGACAAUGGGCGAAAGCCUGAUCCAGCAAUGCCGCGUGUGUGAAGAAGGCCUUCGGGUUGUAAAGCACUUUUGUCCGGAAAGAAACGGCUCUGGUUAAUACCUGGGGUCGAUGACGGUACCGGAAGAAUAAGGACCGGCUAACUACGUGCCAGCCGCCGCCGUAA